UACGAAGGGGGCUAGCGUUGUUCGGAAUCACUGGGCGUAAAGCGCACGCAGGCGGGUCGUUAAGUCAGGGGUGAAAUCCCGAGGCUCAACCUCGGAACUGCCUUUGAUACUGGCGACCUUUGAGUCCGGGAGAGGUGAGUGGAACUCCGAGUGUAGAGGUGAAAUUCGUAGAUAUUCGGAAGAACACCAGUGGCGAAGGCGGCUCACUGGCCCGGUACUGACGCUCAUGUGCGAAAGCGUGGGGAGCAAACAGG
This 254-nucleotide ribosomal RNA is filed under the name uncultured bacterium. RNAcentral's name for it is "partial 16S ribosomal RNA". It matches the Rfam family "Bacterial small subunit ribosomal RNA", at positions 524 to 776 of the family's 1533-position model. The record is from RNAcentral.